Notechis scutatus (mainland tiger snake) is the source of this 186-nucleotide non-coding RNA. The record is from RefSeq and is a predicted model, not a curated record. NCBI's taxonomy places the organism in Eukaryota, Metazoa, Chordata, Lepidosauria, Squamata, Elapidae.
CACUACAGUAUUUUUUUGCAUACUUUACAGAAAUUUGUCUCCCUGUAACUGAAGAAAAAAGGACCUUGAAUGGUAUACUUCCAGAAAAAAAAGUUUUGGAUGACCGUUUCAAAGAAAUACUUCCCAGUUAUGACUGGUUCCAGACACAAGAUUCAGUCACUGUGGUAAUAUACACUAAACAAAAGG